GCCUGUGACCAAAUAAAUCUGGAACACACGAGAUAUCGCCAGAUCUUGGAAGCUAAGUAGGAUUUUGAGCCUGGUUGGUGCUUGGAUGGGCGAUCACUGUGGACAAACAGGUAUCAGAGGUU
RNAcentral lists this ribosomal RNA (122 nucleotides) under Petromyzon marinus (sea lamprey). Lineage: Eukaryota; Metazoa; Chordata; Hyperoartia; Petromyzontiformes; Petromyzontidae. The record is from RNAcentral.